AACGUGGAUUUAAUCGUGUUUGUUCAUUUUACAAAUUUAUACUUAUUGCAGGUGCUGGGAAAUCUUUGGCCACGAAAUAAAUAUGACGAGUGAGUUUAUUAAGAAAUCGCUUGCAGUGUCCAAGCGGAAUGAGUAUGGGAUCCGUGACUUACUUUUAUACUACGUAAAACGUGAGCUGUCAGAUGAAGAAAAAAGAAGGAUGAACAUCUCACAUCGGUGCUACAAGACUUUGAACAGCGGCUUAGAUUUACACGAGUACCAACAUACAGAUAUUGUUCAGUGUGGAUUGCAGGAACAUAGAAAUAGUCACGUUUACAAGAAAGCAUUGAAGAUAGCUAAGGAACGGACUAAUUUAGUAUUUAAAAUCGCUGACUUGUUCCGUAGGUACGUUUGAUAUUAAAAUUUUUGCUCUAA
Non-coding RNA from Zootermopsis nevadensis, 414 nucleotides. The record is from RefSeq and is a predicted model, not a curated record. NCBI's taxonomy places the organism in Eukaryota, Metazoa, Arthropoda, Insecta, Blattodea, Termopsidae.